AGUGAACGCUGGCGGUAGGCCUAACACAUGCAAGUCGAACGGCAGCACAGUAAGAGCUUGCCCUUACGGGUGGCGAGUGGCGGACGGGUGAGGAAUACAUCGGAAUCUACUUUUUCGUGGGGGAUAACGUAGGGAAACUUACGCUAAUACCGCAUACGACCUACGGGUGAAAGCAGGGGAUCUUCGGACCUUGCGCGAUUGAAUGAGCCGAUGUCGGAUUAGCUAGUUGGCGGGGUAAAGGCCCACCAAGGCGACGAUCCGUAGCUGGUCUGAGAGGAUGAUCAGCCACACUGGAACUGAGACACGGUCCAGACUCCUACGGGAGGCAGCAGUGGGGAAUAUUGGACAAUGGGCGCAAGCCUGAUCCAGCCAUACCGCGUGGGUGAAGAAGGCCUUCGGGUUGUAAAGCCCUUUUGUUGGGAAAGAAAAGCAGCAGGUUAAUACCCCGCUAUUCUGACGGUACCCAAAGAAUAAGCACCGGCUAACUUCGUG
RNAcentral lists this ribosomal RNA (492 nucleotides) under uncultured bacterium. Its description in RNAcentral is "partial 16S ribosomal RNA". It matches the Rfam family "Bacterial small subunit ribosomal RNA", at positions 29 to 507 of the family's 1533-position model. The record is from RNAcentral.